GGGCAUGACGGCGUGCUUACACAUGCAGUCGAACGAUGAUCCGGUGCUUGCACCGGGGAUUAGUGGCGAACGGGUGAGUAACACGUGAGUAACCUGCCCUUGACUCUGGGAUAAGCCUGGGAAACCGGGUCUAAUACUGGAUAUGACUGCCGGCCGCAUGGUCUGGUGGUGGAAAGCUUUAUUGCGGUUUUGGAUGGACUCGCGGCCUAUCAGCUUGUUGGCGGGGUAAUGGCCCACCAAGGCGACGACGGGUAGCCGGCCUGAGAGGGUGACCGGCCACACUGGGACUGAGACACGGCCCAGACUCCUACGGGAGGCAGCAGUGGGGAAUAUUGCACAAUGGGCGCAAGCCUGAUGCAGCGACGCCGCGUGAGGGAUGAAGGCCUUCGGGUUGUAAACCUCUUUCAGUAGGGAAGAAGCGAAAGUGACGGUACCUGCAGAAGAAGCGCCGGCUAACUACGUGCCAGCAGCCGCGGUAAUACGUAGGGCGCAAGCGUUAUCCGGAAUUAUUGGGCGUAAAGAGCUCGUAGGCGGUUUGUCGCGUCUGCCGUGAAAGUCCGGGGCUUAACUCCGGAUCUGCGGUGGGUACGGGCAGACUAGAGUGCAGUAGGGGAGACUGGAAUUCCUGGUGUAGCGGUGAAAUGCGCAGAUAUCAGGAGGAACACCGAUGGCGAAGGCAGGUCUCUGGGCUGUAACUGACGCUGAGGAGCGAAAGCAUGGGGAGCGAACAGGAUUAGAUACCCUGGUAGUCCAUGCCGUAAACGUUGGGCACUAGGUGUGGGGGACAUUCCACGUUUUCCGCGCCGUAGCUAACGCAUUAAGUGCCCCGCCUGGGGAGUACGGCCGCAAGGCUAAAACUCAAAGGAAUUGACGGGGGCCCGCACAAGCGGCGGAGCAUGCGGAUUAAUUCGAUGCAACGCGAAGAACCUUACCAAGGCUUGACAUGAACC
This 950-nucleotide ribosomal RNA is filed under the name Arthrobacter tecti. RNAcentral's name for it is "bacterial SSU rRNA". It matches the Rfam family "Bacterial small subunit ribosomal RNA", at positions 33 to 992 of the family's 1533-position model. Lineage: Bacteria; Bacillati; Actinomycetota; Actinomycetes; Micrococcales; Micrococcaceae. The record is from RNAcentral.